UAAAACAGAGACUGCCCAGAUUGUGGCCAA
Molecule: non-coding RNA, 30 nt
Filed under: Mus musculus (house mouse)
Lineage: Eukaryota; Metazoa; Chordata; Mammalia; Rodentia; Muridae
Source: RNAcentral